Molecule: long non-coding RNA, 1245 nt
Filed under: Marmota monax (woodchuck)
Lineage: Eukaryota; Metazoa; Chordata; Mammalia; Rodentia; Sciuridae
Source: RNAcentral
CCCUGCCCCUGUGGAACUCAUGCUCUGGAAGAGAAGCCAGACAGUAAACAGGCAACAGGUGAAGGAGACGGCGAGUCCGUUUAGAUGGUGUGGCCAGGGCUGGCUGCUGAGUUGGCACGUGAGCAAGGACCCCUGGGCCCGGCCUGGAGCCACUUGGAGGGGUGCCUCUCCUUGCUCUGUCUGUGCAUCUUUUGAUACGGGCUGUCCCUACUCCAGCCUGGCCCCCACCUCUGCCUUCACAUUCCUGACCCUUAUUGACCCACGGGAUCACCCUGCACAAGAUGGGCUGUCUUUGGGGAGUUGGCCUUUAGAACAGAAUUAAUCACACCAAAUGUUUUUUUUCAGUGUUCCAGGAAAAAAAAAAUGAAUAUGUGCCACUGUAGAGUUGCCAGAGUUUAAUGGAGAACAUGGGGCAGGGAGGAGGGAGGAGCUGCUGCCAGGGUCUGCGUCAAGGUCACUGCCACCCUGGGCAGUGGAGAGAGGAGACUCCUCACCUCAGGCUCACCUCUGCUGCUUCUUCCUGUUCAGGUCUCGAUGCAAAUGUCACUUCCUGGACCCGACCACCAAGUUUCCUUCCUGGACCUUGUCAGCACCUGAAAUUGUCUGAAGUCUUUUCGGGGUUGUGGUUCAUUUUCUUGUUUAGAAUGAAAAAGCCAAAAGGGCAGGAAAUUUGUUCCCCGAGAACCUAGGAGAGUAGUUGGCACAGAGUAUGUGAUCCUCCCCUCAGCACUUCACUUGCAGCAAUUUCAGUUAGCUGGGCUCACCCAUAGCCAAAAACAUUGAGUGGACAUUUUCGGAAAUAAAAACUUCAUAAGCUUUGGAUUUCACGCCGUUCUGAAAAGUGUGAUGGAAUCUGUGCUGUCUGACUGCAUCCCUCCUGGAACGUGAAUGGUGCAUGCCCUUGUCCAGUGUGUCCAGGGUGUAUACACCACCCACCUGUUAGUUACUUAGUAACCACCUCGGUCAUCACACAUCAUCACAUCAUCUCAAUGUUCUUGUUCAAGUGAGCCUUAUUUUACUUACUAAUGGUCCCAAAGCACAGGAGUAAUGAUGCUGGCAAUUCAGAUAUGACAAGAAGCUGUAAAGUGCUUCCUGUAAGUGGAAAUGUGAAAGUUCUUGGCUUAAUAAGGACAGGAAAAAUCACAUGCUUAGCUUGCUGAGAUCCACAGUUAAGAAUGAAUCUCCUGUCUAUGGAAUUGUGAAGAAGGAAAAAGGAAUUCAUGCUAGUUUUGCUGUCGCCCUUCA